Molecule: long non-coding RNA, 762 nt
Organism: Ipomoea nil (Japanese morning glory)
Lineage: Eukaryota; Viridiplantae; Streptophyta; Magnoliopsida; Solanales; Convolvulaceae
Exons: 2
Source: RefSeq, a predicted model, not a curated record
UGAGAACUAAUCUGAGCCAUUUAUUUGAAUCAAUCUGUCAGGGGUAGGUUGGUCAGUGGUAGUCUUAGGAUGCGUGUGAGAGUGAGAUGUUAGUGUGCAGGUGAGAUUACACCGCUGGUUUUUCGUUGCCUUUGUUCCGCUCGAGUACUGCACCGGAGCUCCCGCCCUUCGUAUUUUCGCUAUCCUAGGAGUCUACCGUGUGUCGUCUUCGUCGAUUGAGUUGCCUUCUGCGAUGGCUGGCUCUGAUGCUCGGAACCCUAAGCGCCCACAACCGACCACCACGUCCGCCGCUGCCCCAGAAAGAUUUGUUGUUUGUGUUCCUUGAUGAUGAGGUUGAUUUGCGGUAUGGGGCUGUUGUACGGAGGAUUAUCUUGAGAAGGAUGCAGAUGCGCUGACGUGAUGCACGUAACAAAGUGGAUUGUGGAGUCUUCGCAAUGCGGCAUAUGGAGUCCUUUUUGGGCCAAUCGGUGAAUGCAUGGGAUUGUGGUCUACAGAAGGGUGAUACUAUGGGUCUUGAUUUGUUGAGGAGGUCUUAUAUGUGUCAGAUUUUGACGAAUGAGAUUAAUGCUCACCAUUCUAAGAAUAUUCACAGUGUAGUCGAAUACCACGAUGCCAUUAAACAAAGAUAGUUUUAGCUUUAUGUUUAUUAGCUAGUUGAUUAGUUGUUUAGUUUAGUUCACAUGGUUAUGUUUGGUGAAUAUGUUCUUUCUUACCGUAACUUAUUUUAAUUUAUACUGUUUUAAUGAGUUUGGUUUUCCUUUA